AGAGCUUGAUCCUGGCUCAGAUUGAACGCUGGCGGCAUGCCUUACACAUGCAAGUCGAACGGCAGCACGAGAGCUUGCUCUUGGUGGCGAGUGGCGAACGGGUGAGUAAUAUAUCGGAACGUACCCUAGAGUGGGGGAUAACGUAGCGAAAGUUACGCUAAUACCGCAUACGAUCUACGGAUGAAAGUGGGGGAUCGCAAGACCUCAUGCUCAUGGAGCGGCCGAUAUCUGAUUAGCUAGUUGGUGGGGUAAAAGCUCACCAAGGCGACGAUCAGUAGCUGGUCUGAGAGGACGACCAGCCACACUGGAACUGAGACACGGUCCAGACUCCUACGGGAGGCAGCAGUGGGGAAUUUUGGACAAUGGGCGCAAGCCUGAUCCAGCAAUGCCGCGUGAGUGAAGAAGGCCUUCGGGUUGUAAAGCUCUUUUGUCAGGGAAGAAACGGUGGACUCUAAUACAGAUCACUAAUGACGGUACCUGAAGAAUAAGCACCGGCUAACUACGUGCCAGCAGCCGCGGUAAUACGUAGGGUGCAAGCGUUAAUCGGAAUUACUGGGCGUAAAGCGUGCGCAGGCGGUUGUGCAAGACAGAUGUGAAAUCCCCGGGCUCAACCUGGGAAUUGCAUUUGUGACUGCACGGCUAGAGUGUGUCAGAGGGGGGUAGAAUUCCACGUGUAGCAGUGAAAUGCGUAGAGAUGUGGAGGAAUACCGAUGGCGAAGGCAGCCCCCUGGGAUAACACUGACGCUCAUGCACGAAAGCGUGGGGAGCAAACAGGAUUAGAUACCCUGGUAGUCCACGCCCUAAACGAUGUCUACUAGUUGUCGGGUCUUAAUUGACUUGGUAACGCAGCUAACGCGUGAAGUAGACCGCCUGGGGAGUACGGUCGCAUGAUUAAAACUCAAAGGAAUUGACGGGGACCCGCACAAGCGGUGGAUGAUGUGGAUUAAUUCGAUGCAACGCGAAAAACCUUACCUACCCUUGACAUGUCUGGAAUCCUUGAGAGAUCAGGGAGUGCUCGAAAGAGAAUCAGAACACAGGUGCUGCAUGGCUGUCGUCAGCUCGUGUCGUGAGAUGUUGGGUUAAGUCCCGCAACGAGCGCAACCCUUGUCAUUAGUUGCUACGAAAGGGCACUCUAAUGAGACUGCCGGUGACAAACCGGAGGAAGGUGGGGAUGACGUCAAGUCCUCAUGGCCCUUAUGGGUAGGGCUUCACACGUCAUACAAUGGUACAUACAGAGGGCCGCCAACCCGCGAGGGGGAGCUAAUCCCAGAAAGUGUAUCGUAGUCCGGAUUGUAGUCUGCAACUCGACUACAUGAAGUUGGAAUCGCUAGUAAUCGCGGAUCAGCAUGUCGCGGUGAAUACGUUCCCGGGUCUUGUACACACCGCCCGUCACACCAUGGGAGCGGGUUUCACCAGAAGUGGGUAGCCUAACCGCAAGGAGGGCGCUCACCACGGUGGGAUUCGUGACUGGGGUGAAGUCGUAACAAGGUA
Molecule: ribosomal RNA, 1491 nt
Filed under: metagenome
Description: bacterial SSU rRNA
Rfam family: Bacterial small subunit ribosomal RNA
Source: RNAcentral